RNAcentral lists this transfer RNA (68 nucleotides) under marine eukaryotic metagenome. It matches the Rfam family "tRNA". Rfam says of the family: Transfer RNA (tRNA) molecules are approximately 80 nucleotides in length. The record is from RNAcentral.
CCUGUAGCUCAAUUGGAUAGAGCAUCGGACUUCGGAUCCGAGGGUUGUGGGUUCGACUCCCGCUAGGC